Molecule: ribosomal RNA, 366 nt
Filed under: Salmonella enterica subsp. enterica serovar Kentucky
Lineage: Bacteria; Pseudomonadati; Pseudomonadota; Gammaproteobacteria; Enterobacterales; Enterobacteriaceae
Description: partial 23S ribosomal RNA
Rfam family: Bacterial large subunit ribosomal RNA
Source: RNAcentral
UGUUUCGGCUAGGGGGCCAUCCCGGCUUACCAACCCGAUGCAAACUGCGAAUACCGGAGAAUGUUAUCACGGGAGACACACGGCGGGUGCUAACGUCCGUCGUGAAGAGGGAAACAACCCAGACCGCCAGCUAAGGUCCCAAAGUCAUGGUUAAGUGGGAAACGAUGUGGGAAGGCCCAGACAGCCAGGAUGUUGGCUUAGAAGCAGCCAUCAUUUAAAGAAAGCGUAAUAGCUCACUGGUCGAGUCGGCCUGCGCGGAAGAUGUAACGGGGCUAAACCAUGCACCGAAGCUGCGGCAGCGACACUGUGUGUUGUUGGGUAGGGGAGCGUUCUGUAAGCCUGCGAAGGUGUCCCGUGAGGGAUGCU